GUGAGGAAUAUUGGACAAUGGGCGCAAGCCUGAUCCAGCCAUGCCGCGUGCAGGAAGACGCAUCUAUGGUGUGUAAACUGCUUUUGUACGGGAAGAAACACUCCCUCGUGAGGGAGCUUGACGGUACCGUAAGAAUAAGGAUCGGCUAACUCCGUGCCAGCAGCCGCGGUAAUACGGAGGAUCCAAGCGUUAUCCGGAAUCAUUGGGUUUAAAGGGUCCGUAGGCGGUUUAAUAAGUCAGUGGUGAAAGCCCAUCGCUCAACGAUGGAACGGCCAUUGAUACUGUUAGACUUGAAUUACAAGGAAGUAACUAGAAUAUGUAGUGUAGCGGUGAAAUGCUUAGAUAUUACAUGGAAUACCAAUUGCGAAGGCAGGUUACUACUUGUGGAUUGACGCUGAUGGACGAAAGCGUGGGGAGCGAACAGGAUUAGAAACCCCAGUAGUC
RNAcentral lists this ribosomal RNA (444 nucleotides) under uncultured bacterium. RNAcentral describes it as "partial 16S ribosomal RNA". It matches the Rfam family "Bacterial small subunit ribosomal RNA", at positions 354 to 795 of the family's 1533-position model. The record is from RNAcentral.